Molecule: ribosomal RNA, 433 nt
Filed under: uncultured bacterium
Lineage: Bacteria
Description: partial 16S ribosomal RNA
Rfam family: Bacterial small subunit ribosomal RNA
Source: RNAcentral
AACGAACGCUGGCGGCAGGCCUAACACAUGCAAGUCGAGCGAGGACUUCGGUCCUAGCGGCGGACGGGUGAGUAACGCGUGGGAACGUGCCCUUUGCUUCGGAAUAGCCCUGGGAAACUGGGAGUAAUACCGGAUGAGCCCUUUGGGGGAAAGAUUUAUCGGCGAAGGAUCGGCCCGCGUUGGAUUAGGUAGUUGGUGGGGUAAUGGCCUACCAAGCCGACGAUCCAUAGCUGGUUUGAGAGGAUGAUCAGCCACACUGGGACUGAGAAACGGCCCAGACUCCUACGCGAGGCAGGAGUGGGGAAUCUUAGAAAAUGGGGGAAACCAUGAUCGAGCCAUGCCGGGUGAGCGAUGAAGGCCUUAGGGUUGUAAAGCUCUUUAAGCUGGGAAGAUAAUGACGGUACCAGCAGAAGAAGCCCCGGCUAACUCCGUG